Long non-coding RNA from Scleropages formosus (Asian bonytongue), 420 nucleotides. RefSeq lists it as uncharacterized. The transcript has 3 exons. The record is from RefSeq and is a predicted model, not a curated record. Lineage: Eukaryota; Metazoa; Chordata; Actinopteri; Osteoglossiformes; Osteoglossidae.
UCAGGAGAGGGAGGCAGAGGUAACGGCGGUGGCGUGACCGUCGUGGACGGAGCUUAACGGUAAAAACCUCGAUCAGGUGGAGGAAUCGACGUGGACAUGAGAAAGGAGAGGGAGCUGCGGUAUUGAACAGAUACUGAACUCAACAUCUCAUCAUCAUUUAGUGAAGUCAUCAUCAGCACUCUGUAAACUGGCACUGACAGAGCAUGUCAGACCCAUUUCUCGAUGUCCUGGAAACUGCCGAUCAGGCUGAGGGCCUGCCCAUCUCCUCCCCUGGGGCCUUUCCUGGUCCUGAGGAUGAAGACGUGAAGCAUGGUGCGAGGGUCGGCAAGAGGAAGGACCGCUACCGACACAACCUGCAUCUUCUGAAGCCUUUCAGGACCUCAAAGAAGAAUAAGCAUCCAGUGGACAACGCGGGCCUUU